AAAAGAAAAAUAAUACGGUUUUGCUUCUAUGACGUUAGCGGCGGACGGGUGAGUAACACGUGGGCAACCUGCCUGUAAUACUGGGAUAACUCCGGGAAACCGGAGCUAAUACCGGAUAACAUUUUCUCUUGCAUAAGAGAAAAUUGAAAGAUGGUUUCGGCUAUCACUUACAGAUGGGCCCGCGGUGCAUUAGCUAGUUGGUGAGGUAACGGCUCACCAAGGCAACGAUGCAUAGCCGACCUGAAAGGGUGAUCGGCCACACUGGGACUGAGACACGGCCCAGACUCCUACGGGAGGCAGCAGUAGGGAAUCUUCCGCAAUGGACGAAAGUCUGACGGAGCAACGCCGCGUGAGUGAUGAAGGCUUUCGGGUCGAAAAACUCUGUUGUUAGGGAAGAACAAGUACAAGAGUAACUGCUUGUACCUUGACGGUACCUAACCAGAAAGCUACGGCUAACUACGAGCCAAUUCUUCUCGGUAAUACUU
This 485-nucleotide ribosomal RNA is filed under the name Bacillus sp. N1(2010). RNAcentral describes it as "bacterial SSU rRNA". It matches the Rfam family "Bacterial small subunit ribosomal RNA", at positions 64 to 528 of the family's 1533-position model. Lineage: Bacteria; Bacillati; Bacillota; Bacilli; Caryophanales; Bacillaceae. The record is from RNAcentral.